RNAcentral lists this ribosomal RNA (468 nucleotides) under uncultured bacterium. Its description in RNAcentral is "partial 16S ribosomal RNA". It matches the Rfam family "Bacterial small subunit ribosomal RNA", at positions 28 to 507 of the family's 1533-position model. The record is from RNAcentral.
GACGAACGCUGGCGGCGUGCUUAACACAUGCAAGUCGAACGGAAAGGCCCUGCUUUUGUGGGGUGCUCGAGUGGCGAACGGGUGAGUAACACGUGCGUAACCUGCCCUUGACUUUGGGAUAACUUCAGGAAACUGGGGCUAAUACCCGAUAGGAGCUCCUGCUGCAUGGUGGGGGUUGGAAAGCUUCGGCGGUUGGGGUUGGGCUCGCGGCUUAUCAGCGUGUUGGUGGGGUAGUGGCUUACCAAGGCUUUGAAGGGUAGCCGGCCCGGGAGGGUGAACGGCCCCAUUGGGACUGCGAUACGGACCAGACUGCUACGGGGGGCAGCAGUGGGAAAUAUUGCACAAUGGGGGGAAGCCUAGUGCAGAAACGCCGCGUGCGGGAUGACGGCCUUCGGGUUGUAAACCGCUUUCGCCUGUGACGCAGCGUUAGUGACGGUACUGGGUAAAGAAGCACCGGCUAACUACGUG